Molecule: transfer RNA, 65 nt
Filed under: Argopecten irradians (bay scallop)
Lineage: Eukaryota; Metazoa; Mollusca; Bivalvia; Pectinida; Pectinidae
Also listed under: 1 other name
Description: tRNA-Leu
Source: RNAcentral
AACGGGUUGGCAGAUAGAUGUGCUUGACUUAGGAUCAAGAGAGGGAGUUUUAGCUCCACCUGUUA